Drosophila albomicans is the source of this 560-nucleotide long non-coding RNA. RefSeq lists it as uncharacterized. Lineage: Eukaryota; Metazoa; Arthropoda; Insecta; Diptera; Drosophilidae. The transcript is spliced from 2 exons. The record is from RefSeq and is a predicted model, not a curated record.
UUCGCAAUAUACAUUAAAUUGAAAGUUUUGCAUACAUGUGCAAAACACACGUACGUAUACAAAACCAUGUACACACACGUAAGUGAACAGAUGUACCCACAUUCAUGUAUAUAUACAUAUUGAUAAAUUUGGAAUUAAUAUGAGCAUUACUCAGCCUACUCUGACUAAUGUCUGCACAUGUAUGUAUGUAUGCUUUCAAUACAUAGAUACAUAUACCAUACCAAGUAUUUAUAUUUCCGAACUCAUACAUAUGUACAUAUAAAUCUUUCUACUCUCGACGAAAAUGUAUGUACAUAUACAUCUAAAAAAAAAUAUUUUUAGUGCAUACUACUAAAAUACAUACAUAUAUGUAUAAAAAUACAUAUACUUUUUACAUAUUUAUGUCUAAAUGAAUCAUCGCAUUAUGUGCGAGUUGUAAGUAGUACAUGUAAAUGAAAUUAUUACAGUAUAAAAAAAAGUUUCUUCAGGAAUCGUGCUUACCAUUUUUUUGCUGCAAAAUGUGAGUACUUUUUACCAAAUUCGGAAACCAAUUGCAAUGUAUGUAUACGCUAAAACACAAU